RNAcentral lists this long non-coding RNA (953 nucleotides) under Malus domestica (apple). Its description in RNAcentral is "long non-coding RNA (MDOM_LNC009080)". Lineage: Eukaryota; Viridiplantae; Streptophyta; Magnoliopsida; Rosales; Rosaceae. The record is from RNAcentral.
CCAAAUUGAACUUGUCCACAGGUAUGAAACUUGCUCCACUCACUAAGAUCUACUUGCUUGUAAAAUUUGGUAAUUUUUGGAAAUAGUUGAAUUUUCCGGCGAGUCGAGACGGCCGACCGCCACACGCGGCGGCGCGUGGCCAGUGGGCCGACGAUGUCUUUCUACUUUUCUAGGUCCAAUUAGAUGCCUUGAAUUCAUAAUUGAUAUCUGUAUGAAGUGGUUUGAUUGUUUGAACUUAGUUUCAUUAUGAUACAUCAUUUGAUCAAAAUUUGAAUCGACGAUCCGACCGUUGGAUCGUGACCAAACUUUAAUGUGUUAUAAAACGUAAUAUUUGAGGAUAGUUGGAACUGACGGAUCGGGAAUCCGACAUACGGAUCUUCUUGAAUUGGAUUUCUAAGUUAGGAAAAUUAAUUGUUAACCGCCACCUAAUCCUAGCAAUAGGCGAAGAUCCAACUGUUGGAUCACAAUGAGAUUUUAGUAUGUUGUUCUUUGAGCAUAAUGUAGACCUUAAGGAGUUAUGGAUCUAGAUUAUGAGUGCGGAUCUUUCGGAUUAAAUUGUGAGGGUGUGGACCCCACCGUUGAUUUUUGUCAACAGGUCUUGAACCAUUUGAAUUACUAAAAUUAGUAUUACUAGAGACUCAGUGAAGCUUUGAGGACUUGUCUCGGUGAGUGACUUUAAUAAAUAUGAUAUGGUGAUUACCCGAUUCUUGAUAUUAAUAUCCUUUGUGGAUAUGAUAUGGUUUUCUGUUAAAAUGUGAUUCUUUUAUAAUUGGCCAUCGAUCUAUUUUUAUUAAAUGUGAAUUGAUUCAUGGAUUGGUAAUAUUUGUUGAAAAGUGAUUCGAAUUGCAUAUUGAAAUGUUUUUUAAAUUAAGGGUUAGUAGUGGACCAUGACCCUGCUUGGUUAAUCCGCAUUGGGGGGUCACUAGUGGUCCUACUUGGUUAAUCCGCAUUGG